Molecule: ribosomal RNA, 498 nt
Filed under: uncultured bacterium
Lineage: Bacteria
Description: bacterial SSU rRNA
Rfam family: Bacterial small subunit ribosomal RNA
Source: RNAcentral
GACGAACGCUGACGGUGUGCUUUAGACAUGCAAGUCGAGCGAGAAAGCCCUUCGGGGUUAGUAAAGCGGCGAACGGGUGAGUAACACGUGGGCAAUCUGCCCCUCGCAGGGGGACAACCGGGGGAAACGUACCGGCUAAUACCCCGUAACGUUUCCAGAGUCGCAUGGCUUUGGAAAGAAAGGUAGCUUCGGCCAUCCGGCGAGGGAUGAGCCCGCGGUACAUUAGCUAGUUGGUGGGGUAACGGCCUACCAAGGCGGCGAGUAUAGCUGGUCUGAGAGGAUGAUCAGCCACACUGGGACUGAGACACGGCCCAGACUCCUACGGGAGGCAGCAGUCGGGAAUCUUGCACAAUGGGCGAAAGCCUGAUGCAGCAACACCGUGUGAGCGAUGAAGGCCCUAGGGUCGUAAAGCUCUGUUGUUGGGGACGAAGGGCGAAGGGUUAAUAGCCCCCAGCUUGACGGUACCCUUCGAGGAAGCUCCGGCUAACUACGUGCCAG